This 548-nucleotide ribosomal RNA is filed under the name uncultured Glomeromycotina. RNAcentral describes it as "SSU rRNA". It matches the Rfam family "Eukaryotic small subunit ribosomal RNA", at positions 548 to 1097 of the family's 1831-position model. The record is from RNAcentral. Lineage: Eukaryota; Fungi; Glomeromycota.
UUGGAGGGCAAGUCUGGUGCCAGCAGCCGCGGUAAUUCCAGCUCCAAUAGCGUAUAUUAAAGUUGUUGCAGUUAAAAAGCUCGUAGUUGAAUUUCGGGGUCAGUAGGCUGGUCGUGCCUCAGGUACGUACUGGUCUUACUGAUUCCUCCUUCCUGACGAACCGUAAUGCCAUUAAUUUGGUGUUGCGGGGAAUUUGGACUGUUACUUUGAAAAAAUUAGAGUGUUUAAAGCAGGCUAACGCUUGAAUACAUUAGCAUGGAAUAAUGAAAUAGGACGAUCGAUCCUAUUUUGUUGGUUUCUAGGAUUGACGUAAUGAUUAAUAGGGAUAGUUGGGGGCAUUAGUAUUCAAUUGUCAGAGGUGAAAUUCUUGGAUUUAUUGAAGACUAACUACUGCGAAAGCAUUUGCCAAGGAUGUUUUCAUUAAUCAAGAACGAAAGUUAGGGGAUCGAAGACGAUCAGAUACCGUCGUAGUCUUAACCAUAAACUAUGCCGACUAGGGAUCGGAUGAUGUUAAUUUUUUAAUGACUCAUUCGGCGCCUUACGGGAAA